Molecule: ribosomal RNA, 510 nt
Filed under: Acaulospora sp. Aco1
Lineage: Eukaryota; Fungi; Glomeromycota; Glomeromycetes; Diversisporales; Acaulosporaceae
Also listed under: 1 other name
Description: SSU rRNA
Rfam family: Eukaryotic small subunit ribosomal RNA
Source: RNAcentral
AGCAGCCGCGGUAAUUCCAGCUCCAAUAGCGUAUAUUAAAGUUGUUGCAGUUAAAAAGCUCGUAGUUGAAUUUCGGGGUUUGUCCAUCGGUCGGGCUUUAUUGUUCGUACUGGUGUGAUGAAUUCCUACCUUCUGAAUAACCUUCAUGCCAUUAAUUUGGUGCGUUGGGGAAGCAGAGCUGUUACCUUGAAAAAAUUAGAGUGCUUAAAGCAGGCAAGUGCCUGAAUACAUUAGCAUGGAAUAAUGAAAUAGGACGGCAUGGUUCUAUUUUGUUGGUUUCUAGGAUCACCGUAAUGAUUAAUAGGGAUAGUUGGGGGCAUUAGUAUUCAAUUGUCAGAGGUGAAAUUCUUGGAUUUAUUGAAGACUAACUUCUGCGAAAGCAUUUGCCAAGGAUGUUUUCAUUAAUCAAGAACGAAAGUUAGGGGAUCGAAGACGAUCAGAUACCGUCGUAGUCUUAACCAUAAACUAUGCCGACUAGGGAUCGGACGAUGUUAAUUUUUUAAUGACUCG